UACUCCUUCCACUCGGAGUAACCUUAUUAUGGCAUGCGUCCCCAGCAAUGAGGAGGUGUGAAGCCCAUAAGACAAUGUGGAAAAACCUGAAAGUCUCAUUCAGGUAAUCUG
RNAcentral lists this non-coding RNA (111 nucleotides) under uncultured archaeon. The record is from RNAcentral.